This 720-nucleotide ribosomal RNA is filed under the name uncultured bacterium. RNAcentral's name for it is "bacterial SSU rRNA". It matches the Rfam family "Bacterial small subunit ribosomal RNA", at positions 63 to 774 of the family's 1533-position model. The record is from RNAcentral.
AGCGGGGAGCGAAGCUUGCUUUGCUCCGCCGGCGACCGGCGCACGGGUGAGUAACGCGUAUGCAACCUGCCCGUUUCAGCGGGAUAACCCGGAGAGAUCCGGCCUAAUACCGCAUGUGGCCGAGGGAAGGCAUCUUCUUUCGGCCAAAGGAGGCGACUCCGGAGACGGAUGGGCAUGCGUGACAUUAGCUUGUUGGCGGGGUAACGGCCCACCAAGGCGACGAUGUCUAGGGGUUCUGAGAGGAAGGUCCCCCACACUGGUACUGAGACACGGACCAGACUCCUACGGGAGGCAGCAGUGAGGAAUAUUGGUCAAUGGGCGAGAGCCUGAACCAGCCAAGUCGCGUGAAGGAUGACGGCCCUACGGGUUGUAAACUUCUUUUGUCAGGGAGCAAUUGAGUCCACGUGUGGGCUUAGCGAGAGUACCUGAAGAAAAAGCAUCGGCUAACUCCGUGCCAGCAGCCGCGGUAAUACGGAGGAUGCGAGCGUUAUCCGGAUUUAUUGGGUUUAAAGGGUGCGUAGGCGGAAUAUCAAGUCAGCGGUAAAAAUUCGGGGCUCAACCCCGUCGUGCCGUUGAAACUGAUGUUCUUGAGUGGGCGAGAAGUAUGCGGAAUGCGUGGUGUAGCGGUGAAAUGCAUAGAUAUCACGCAGAACUCCGAUUGCGAAGGCAGCAUACCGGCGCCCAACUGACGCUGAAGCACGAAAGCGUGGGUAUCGAACA